This 540-nucleotide ribosomal RNA is filed under the name uncultured bacterium. Its description in RNAcentral is "bacterial SSU rRNA". It matches the Rfam family "Bacterial small subunit ribosomal RNA", at positions 29 to 486 of the family's 1533-position model. The record is from RNAcentral.
AAUGAACGCUGGCGGCGUGCCUAACACAUGCAAGUCGAGCGAGAAAGUCCCCUUCGGGGGGCGAGUAAAGCGGCGCACGGGUGAGUAACGCGUGGGUAACCUGCCCUUGAGUGGGGGAUAACCAGCCGAAAGGCUGACUAAUCCCGCAUACGACCGGCAGACACAAGUCUGUCGGGGAAAGAUGGCCUCUGCUUGCAAGCUAUCGCUCUUGGAUGGGCCCGCGUUGGAUUAGCUAGUUGGUGGGUAACGGCCUACCAAGGCUGCGAUCCAUAGCUGGUUUGAGAGGACGACCAGCCACACUGGAACUGAGACACGGUCCAGACUCCUACGGGAGGCAGCAGUGAGGAAUAUUGCGCAAUGGGGGAAACCCUGACGCAGCGACGCCGUGUGAGCGAUGAAGGCCUCGGUCGUAAGGCUACUGUCAGAGGGAAAGGAAAAGGGUACGGGACGGGAAGUAAAGUAACCCGACCCGAACCAACUGUACGGGUAACCCUUCCGGACGGAAACGGACGAACCCGGACCGUAACCGUACCCGUUACG